This 253-nucleotide ribosomal RNA is filed under the name uncultured bacterium. RNAcentral's name for it is "partial 16S ribosomal RNA". It matches the Rfam family "Bacterial small subunit ribosomal RNA", at positions 524 to 776 of the family's 1533-position model. The record is from RNAcentral.
UACAGAGGGGGCAAGCGUUGUUCGGAAUUACUGGGCGUAAAGGGCGCGUAGGUGGCCGCCUAAGUCGGACGUGAAAUCCCUCGGCUCAACCGGGGAACUGCGUCCGAUACUGGGUGGCUUGAAUCCGGGAGAGGGAUGUGGAAUUCCAGGUGUAGCGGUGAAAUGCGUAGAUAUCUGGAGGAACACCGGUGGCGAAGGCGGCAUCCUGGACCGGAAUUGACGCUGAGGCGCGAAAGCCAGGGGAGCAAACGGG